GCCUGCUCCAGUGCCUGCGAAGAAAUUUUCCCUAAUAUUCACGAGAGCUGCGGCCUGACGGUGUGCGGAGGGAAGAUUUACAUCCUGGGUGGCCGAGAUGAGAAUGGGGAAGGCACAGACAAAGCAUUCACUUUUGACCCUAUAACGGGGAGUGUGGAGCAGCAGCCCCCGCUGCAGCGCUGUACCAGCUACCAUGGCUGUGUCACCAUCCUGCAGCACAUGAACAGAUGACCGUGGGGCUCUGACAGCAUCUUUCUCCCAUUCAGAUCCUCCCCUUGAGUCAGUGGUAUGUGUGCGGACAGACAGCAGUCUCUCUGCGGGGAAGGGCAACAUAAGCCACUGAAGACGUGCUCCCAGCAGGCCCCGAG
Phasianus colchicus (ring-necked pheasant) is the source of this 368-nucleotide non-coding RNA. The record is from RefSeq and is a predicted model, not a curated record. NCBI's taxonomy places the organism in Eukaryota, Metazoa, Chordata, Aves, Galliformes, Phasianidae.